GACGAACGCUGGCGGCGUGCUUAACACAUGCAAGUCGAACGGAAAGGCCCUGCUUUUGUGGGGUGCUCGAGUGGCGAACGGGUGAGUAACACGUGAGUAACCUGCCCUUGACUUUGGGAUAACUUCAGGAAACUGGGGCUAAUACCGGAUAGGAGCUCCUGCUGCAUGGUGGGGGUUGGAAAGUUUCGGCGGUUGGGGAUGGACUCGCGGCUUAUCAGCUUGUUGGUGGGGUAGUUGCUUACCAAGGCUUUGACGGGUAGCCGGCCUGAGAGGGUGACCGGCCACAUUGGGACUGAGAUACGGCCCAGACUCCUACGGGAGGCAGCAGUGGGGAAUAUUGCACAAUGGGCGGAAGACUGAUGCAGCAACGCCGCGUGCGGGAUGACGGCCUUCGGGUUGUAAACCGCUUUCGCCUGUGACGAAGCGUGAGUGACGGUAAUGGGUAAAGAAGCACCGGCUAACUACGUG
RNAcentral lists this ribosomal RNA (468 nucleotides) under uncultured bacterium. Its description in RNAcentral is "partial 16S ribosomal RNA". It matches the Rfam family "Bacterial small subunit ribosomal RNA", at positions 28 to 507 of the family's 1533-position model. The record is from RNAcentral.